AAGCACAGACUGUUGUAAAUUAGUUAGUGGCAAUAUAUAAAUAUAAAAGAAAAUUAGGAGAUUCUUUUAAACAAAUUGUUUCCAGAAUACUUUGAACACUUGUAUAUAAACAAAUAUUUUCUCAAUGCAAAUUCAUUCAGCUUAUUUCUACAAGAUAAUAGCUAUUUGUUCUUGGUGUCAAAGCACAACCUAUGCUGAUAAGUUUUUUCGCCCUUUGCUUCAAAUUUGAGCAGAAUUUCUCUCAGAUUUAUUUUUCUUUUACCCUUUCAAAUAUUGCUUUGCUCAUUUUUUUUUUCUUCUUAAUAUGGUUGAACUUGAUAACCGAUCUGCACCAACCCAAAAUGCUGCAACUAAAGAUGGUAAUCUCCAUCUUCAAAACUCAGAUAACCCUAGAAUGGUGCUGGUUAGUGCUCCCUUGACUGGGAAGAAUUACCUAUCAUGGAGUAGGUCCAUGACAAUUGCAUUAAGAGCUAAGGACAAGCUUGGCUUUGUUGAUGGAAGCUAUAAAAUGCCUGCUGCUGGAUCUACAACAUUAGACAAAUGGAAAAAGGUGGACAACAUGGUAACUUCAUGGAUUCUAAAUUCACUCUCAAAAGAGCUAGUGGAUGCCUUCAUCUAUGCAUCCUUUUCCAAAGAUCUCUGGCAAGAAAUUAAGAAGAGAUUUGGAGAAAGUAAUGGCCCUCUUCUCUAUCAGCUCAAGCAAGAGAUAAGUAAUCUAACUCAAUCAACUACCUCUGUUGUGGUGCAUUUUACUAAACUUAAAAGGCUUUGGGAUGAAUUAGCCUAUCUUAAACCUUUGCCUGUGUGUGAAUGUGGAGCAUCAAAGCUAAUAGAUGAGAUUAAUGAUGAAGACAAGCUUAUUAAAUUUUUUAUGGGGUUGAAUGAAUCAUAUGAGCAUGUAAGAAAUCAGAUCCUUCUAACGGAUCCAUUGCCCAGUGUAAACAGAGCGUAUUCCAUGGUGUUAAAAGUGAAUACACAGAAAGAAUUUCAUGAAAAUACUAUUGAUAUUUAUAACUCUGUUAUGGCAGUAAAGAAUCAGUUCUAGAAAGAGAAAAUUUAGGGCAAGAAGAAGGAAUUUGGAAAGAAAGAGUCUAGAACUUGUGAUUACUACAACGAAAGUGCACACACAAGGGACACAUGUUUCAAAUUACAUGGAUAUACUGAAUGGUUCUCUGAAUACAGAUAAAAGAAAGGGAAAGGGAAGAACACCAUGGCAGCAAAUGUGUUUGAUAAUGCACCUGAGAAUAAGGGAAAAGCAAAUAGCAAGAAUGAAGUGACACAUGUUGAUUGGGCAAGUAUGAUAUAACAUGAAAUAGCUAAAUAUAUGCAGAAUUAGAAUCCUAUGGUUUAUGAGGCUAGUUGUGUCAACUUCACUGGGUUUGCAGGUAAGGACUUUAGUGGCUACUCCUCGAGCAGUAGUGGUAAGAGUAAAGGUACAUGGAUUGUAGAUUCAGGUGCCUCAACUCAUGUGUCAUGAUUUUACUCUUUCUCAUAACCUAUCAAAAUUAAAUAACCAUAGUAUAAUUACACUACUAGAUGGGAACUACCAAACCUGUUUUAUAUGGUGGAACCACAAAUACUCACCCCAAACUUCAUUUACACAACACACUAUACAUUCCUAGCUUUAAUCACAAUCUUCUAUCAGUGAGUGCCCUUGCUAAAUCCUCUUGUAUAAUUGUUAAAUUCUUUUCUGACCACUGUUUCUUGCAGGGCCAAGUGACUAAGGAGGUGGUAGCAAAAGGAGAAAUGUUAGGAGGUUUAUAUAUAAUAGGUAAUAAAUCACUCAAUAGUGGUUGUGGUAUCAAAUGCAUCUCUGACUUUCCAAAAAGUAGUAGUACUGCUACUUCUUAUGAACCUAUUACCAAAAUGAAUGAAGCCUAUCCAAUCUCUAUUGCACCUAAUUCUUAUGAAUUAUGGCACUUUAGACUUGGGCAUAUUUCCAGCACAAAACUGUCAUUCAUUCCCACAAUUAAAAUCAAGAAUGAUGAUCAAUAAGUAUGUGAGAUAUGUCCACUUACCAAACAACAGAGAUUAAGUUUUCAAAAGAGUAAGAUUACAAGCAAGUCAAUUUUUGAACUCAUUCACAUUGAUUUAUGAGGUCCAUACCUAGUGCAUUUAAUUUCUCAAACAAAAUAUGUUCUCACCAUAAUUGAUGAUUUUUCAAGAGUUAUCUGGACUUAUCUUAUACGUGACAAAACCAGAGUUUAUCAUACACUUCUUGAAUUUUUU
Molecule: unclassified non-coding RNA, 2229 nt
Filed under: Hevea brasiliensis (rubber tree)
Lineage: Eukaryota; Viridiplantae; Streptophyta; Magnoliopsida; Malpighiales; Euphorbiaceae
Source: RNAcentral